This 253-nucleotide ribosomal RNA is filed under the name uncultured bacterium. Its description in RNAcentral is "partial 16S ribosomal RNA". It matches the Rfam family "Bacterial small subunit ribosomal RNA", at positions 524 to 776 of the family's 1533-position model. The record is from RNAcentral.
UACGUAGGGGGCAAGCGUUGUCCGGAAUCAUUGGGCGUAAAGAGCGUGUAGGCGGCCCGAUAAGUCUGUUGUGAAAGUCCAGGGCUCAACCCUGGAAUGCCGAUGGAUACUGCCGGGCUAGAGUUCGGAAGAGGCGAGUGGAAUUCCUGGUGUAGCGGUGGAAUGCGCAGAUAUCAGGAGGAACACCUAUAGCGAAGGCAGCUCGCUGGGACGACACUGACGCUGAGACGCGAAAGCGUGGGGAGCGAACAGG